GAUGAACGCUGGCGGCGUGCCUAAUACAUGCAAGUCGAGCGAACGGACGAGGAGCUUGCUUCUCUGAUGUUAGCGGCGGACGGGUGAGUAACACGUGGAUAACCUACCUAUAAGACUGGGAUAACUUCGGGAAACCGUAGCUAAUACCGGAUAAUAUAUUGAACCGCAUGGUUCAAUAGUGAAAGACGGUCUUGCUGUCACUUAUAGAUGGAUCCGCGCUGCAUUAGCUAGUUGGUAAGGUAACGGCUUACCAAGGCAACGAUGCAUAGCCGACCUGAGAGGGCGAUCGGCCACACUGGAACUGAGACACGGUCCAGACUCCUACGGGAGGCAGCAGUAGGGAAUCUUCCGCAAUGGGCGAAAGCCUGACGGAGCAACGCCGCGUGAGUGAUGAAGGUCUUCGGAUCGUAAAACUCUGUUAUUAGGGAAGAACAUAUGUGUAAGUAACUGUGCACAUCUUGACGGUACCUAAUCAGAAAGCCACGGCUAACUACGUG
Molecule: ribosomal RNA, 497 nt
Filed under: uncultured bacterium
Lineage: Bacteria
Description: partial 16S ribosomal RNA
Rfam family: Bacterial small subunit ribosomal RNA
Source: RNAcentral